Molecule: ribosomal RNA, 253 nt
Filed under: uncultured bacterium
Lineage: Bacteria
Description: partial 16S ribosomal RNA
Rfam family: Bacterial small subunit ribosomal RNA
Source: RNAcentral
UACGAAGGGUGCAAGCGUUAAUCGGAAUUACUGGGCGUAAAGCGUGCGUAGGCGGUUUGUUAAGUCUGUUGUGAAAGCCCCGGGCUCAACCUGGGAAUUGCAUUCGAGACUGCGUAGCUAGGGUGCGGAAGAGGGAAGCGGAAUUUCCGGUGUAGCGGUGAAAUGCGUAGAUAUCGGAAGGAACACCAGUGGCGAAGGCGGCUUCCUGGUCCAGCACCGACAUUCAGGCACGAAAGCGUGGGGAGCAAACAGG